GAUGAACGCUAGCGGCAGGCCUAAUACAUGCAAGUCGAACGAUAUUAUCCAGCUUGCUGGAUAUGAAAGUGGCGCACGGGUGCGUAACGCGUAUGCAACAUACCUUAUUCAGGGGGAUAGCCCGAAGAAAUUCGGAUUAACAACGCAAAAAAUAAAAGUUCAGCAUUGGACAAUGAUCAAAUAUUUAUAGGAAUAAGAUGGGCAUGCAUGUCAUUAGCUAGUUGGCGGGGUAACGGCACACCAAGGCAACGAUCAGUAGGGGUUAUGAGAGGAAGGUCCCCCACAUUGGAACUGAGACACGGUCCAAACUCCUACGGGAGGCAGCAGUGAGGAAUAUUGGUCAAUGGGCGGAAGCCUGAACCAGCCAAGUAGCGUGCAGGAUGACGGCCCUAUGGGUUGUAAACUGCUUUUAUACAUGAAUAAAGUUAGCCACGUGUGGUUAUUUGUAGGUACUGUAUGAAUAAGGACCGGCUAAUUCCGUGCCAGCCGCCGCAGUAA
Molecule: ribosomal RNA, 498 nt
Filed under: uncultured bacterium
Lineage: Bacteria
Description: partial 16S ribosomal RNA
Rfam family: Bacterial small subunit ribosomal RNA
Source: RNAcentral